Small nuclear RNA from Nycticebus coucang (slow loris), 107 nucleotides. The record is from RefSeq and is a predicted model, not a curated record. Lineage: Eukaryota; Metazoa; Chordata; Mammalia; Primates; Lorisidae.
GUGCUUGCUUCAGCAGCACAUAUACUAAAACUGGAACAAUACCGAGGAGAUUAGCAUGGACCCUGCACAAGGAUGAAACAUAAAUUCAUUAAGUAUUCCAUAUUUUU